Molecule: long non-coding RNA, 793 nt
Filed under: Physcomitrium patens
Lineage: Eukaryota; Viridiplantae; Streptophyta; Bryopsida; Funariales; Funariaceae
Description: long non-coding RNA (PPAT_LNC014838)
Source: RNAcentral
UUUGGUGAAUUUGAUCUUCUUCAGUAAUUUUUUGCUUGUAGUCAACUUAAUUGUAAAGAAAUUUGAAAAAUUUGAGUUAAAAUAAAUGCUUCAUUCAUUAAUUAUUGAGGUUUAAAUCUACUGUAGGAAUUACUUGGAUUAUUUAGGGUUUAGAUAGGGUUUGAUUAAGAUUUGGUUAGGAUUUGUUUAGAAUUUUAUUAGGAUUUAUUUAGGAUUUUUGAAGAUUUGGUUAGGAUUUAACUAGCAUUUGAUUAAGAUUUGAGUAGGAUUUGUUUAGGAUUUGGUUAGAAUUUGUUUAGGAUCUGAUUAAGAUUUAUUUAGGGUUGACUAAGAUUUGAUUAAAAUUUGAUUAGGAUUUGGUUAGGAUUUGGUUAGAGUUUAAUUAAGAUUUGGUUAAUAUUUGAUUAGGAUUUGAUUAGGAUUUGGUUAAGAUUUGAUUAGGAUUUGAUUAAGAUUUGAUUAAGAUUUGAUUAAGUUUUAUUUAGGAUUUGAUUAAAAUUUGAUUAGGAUUUGUUUAGGAUUUAACUAGGAUUUGGUUAAGGUUUGUUUAAGAUUUGUUUAGGAUUUGACUAGGAUUUGGUUAAGGUUUUUUUAAGAUUUGAUUAAGAUUUAAUUAAGAUUUAUUAGGAUUUGACUAGAAUUUGACUAGAAUUUGACUAGAAUUUAUUUAGGAUUGAUUAGGAUUUUAUUAGGAUUUGACUAGAAUUUGGUUAGGAUUUAAUUAAGAUUUCUAUUUUAAUAUUUUAUUAAGAUUUCUAUUUUAGUAUAUUUUAAAAUUUCUAUGUUAGUUCUU